UACGGAGGGGGCAAGCGUUAUUCGGAAUUAUUGGGCGUAAAGGGCGCGUAGGCGGCUAGAUGUGUCAAAGGUGAAAUCCCUCGGCUCAACUGAGGAACUGCCUUUGAAACUGUCUGGCUUGAGGCCGGGAGAGGGUAGCGGAAUUCCCAGUGUAGCGGUGAAAUGCGUAGAUAUUGGGAGGAACACCAGCGGCGAAAGCGCUCUACUGGGCCGCAACUGACACUCAUGGACGAAAGCUAGGGGAGCGAAAGGG
RNAcentral lists this ribosomal RNA (253 nucleotides) under uncultured bacterium. RNAcentral describes it as "partial 16S ribosomal RNA". It matches the Rfam family "Bacterial small subunit ribosomal RNA", at positions 524 to 776 of the family's 1533-position model. The record is from RNAcentral.